This 253-nucleotide ribosomal RNA is filed under the name uncultured bacterium. Its description in RNAcentral is "partial 16S ribosomal RNA". It matches the Rfam family "Bacterial small subunit ribosomal RNA", at positions 524 to 776 of the family's 1533-position model. The record is from RNAcentral.
UACAGAGGUCUCAAGCGUUGUUCGGAAUCAUUGGGCGUAAAGGGUGCGUAGGCGGCGCGGUAAGUCGGGUGUGAAAUCUUGGAGCUUAACUCCGAAACUGCAUUCGAUACUGCCGUGCUUGAGGACUGGAGAGGAGACUGGAAUUUACGGUGUAGCGGUGAAAUGCGUAGAUAUCGUAAGGAAGACCAGUGGCGAAGGCGGGUCUCUGGACAGUUCCUGACGCUGAGGCACGAAGGCCAGGGGAGCAAACGGG